ACUGAAUAGAUACCCUGGUAGUCCACGCUGUAAACGAUGGAUACUAGGUGUAGCAGGUAUCGACCCCUGCUGUGCCGCAGCUAACGCAAUAAGUAUCCCGCCUGGGGAGUAUGGCCGCAAGGUUGAAACUCAAAGGAAUUGACGGGGCCCGCACAAGCGGUGGAGGAUGUGGUUUAAUUCGACGCAACGCGAAGAACCUUACCAAGGCUUGACAUCCACUGAAUCUUGUAGAAAUACAGGAGUGCCCGAAAGGGAGCAGUGAGACAGGUGGUGCAUGGCUGUCGUCAGCUCGUGUCGUGAGAUGUUGGGUUAAGUCCCGCAACGAGCGCAACCCUCGACGUUAGUUACCAUCAUUCAGUUGGGGACUCUAACGUGACUGCCGGUGAUAAGCCGGAGGAAGGUGAGGACGACGUCAAGUCAUCAUGCCCCUUACGUCUUGGGCUACACACGUCCUACAAUGGCAUAGACAAAGGGCUGCAAGACCGCGAGGUUGAGCGAAUCUCAU
This 505-nucleotide ribosomal RNA is filed under the name uncultured bacterium. RNAcentral's name for it is "bacterial SSU rRNA". It matches the Rfam family "Bacterial small subunit ribosomal RNA", at positions 772 to 1277 of the family's 1533-position model. The record is from RNAcentral.